RNAcentral lists this ribosomal RNA (492 nucleotides) under uncultured bacterium. Its description in RNAcentral is "partial 16S ribosomal RNA". It matches the Rfam family "Bacterial small subunit ribosomal RNA", at positions 29 to 507 of the family's 1533-position model. The record is from RNAcentral.
AGUGAACGCUGGCGGUAGGCCUAACACAUGCAAGUCGAACGGCAGCACAGUAAGAGCUUGCUCUUACGGGUGGCGAGUGGCGGACGGGUGAGGAAUACAUCGGAAUCUACUUUUUCGUGGGGGAUAACGUAGGGAAACUUACGCUAAUACCGCAUACGACCUACGGGUGAAAGCAGGGGAUCUUCGGACCUUGCGCGAUUGAAUGAGCCGAUGUCGGAUUAGCUAGUUAGCGGGGUAAAGGCCCACCAAGGCGAUGAUCCGUAGCUGGUCUGAGAGGAUGAUCAGCCACACUGGAACUGAGACACGGCCCAGACUCCUACGGGAGGCAGCAGUGGGGAAUAUUGGACAAUGGGCGCAAGCCUGAUCCAGCCAUACCGCGUGGGUGAAGAAGGCCUUCGGGUUGUAAAGCCCUUUUGUUGGGAAAGAAAAGCAGCAGGUUAAUACCCCGCUGUUCUGACGGUACCCAAAGAAUAAGCACCGGCUAACUUCGUG